Molecule: ribosomal RNA, 253 nt
Filed under: uncultured bacterium
Lineage: Bacteria
Description: partial 16S ribosomal RNA
Rfam family: Bacterial small subunit ribosomal RNA
Source: RNAcentral
GACAGAGGGUGCAACCGUUGUUCGGAAUUACUGGGCGUAAAGCGAGUGUAGGCGGUUUGGUAAGUCGGAUGUGAAAGCCCCGGGCUCAACCCGGGAAGUGCACUCGAUACUGCCAAGCUAGAGUAUCGGAGAGGUUGGUGGAAUUCUCGGUGUAGAGGUGAAAUUCGUAGAUAUCGAGAGGAACACCGGUGGCGAAGGCGGCCAACUGGACGAAUACUGACGCUGAGACUCGAAAGCGUGGGGAGCAAACAGG